This 1861-nucleotide long non-coding RNA is filed under the name Macaca fascicularis (crab-eating macaque). Its description in RNAcentral is "lncRNA (ENSMFAG00000053618.1)". Lineage: Eukaryota; Metazoa; Chordata; Mammalia; Primates; Cercopithecidae. The record is from RNAcentral.
AAAAAUUACCCAUGGACUCUUUAAUAAUAAGGAAAAUAAGUGCAUUUGAAGCCAGUCUCUCUUACUUCAGAGGUCAUUUCUAUAAUCACCCGUUUGGAGCAGCAGUGCCCGACAUCGGCAUCUGGGAUCCUGACACGAUUGAUAGAACCGAAUCAAGCAAGACAAUACCACCCCACUUUUAUUCGCUGUGAUUUGCAAGAAAGAGAAAAUGGUGGAAUUUUUAUUGAAAAAGCAAAUACACAUGCCGUUGAUAGGCCGAGAUGGUACAGCAGUUCUUUUUUAAAGCGAAAAGCUGUUUAUUCUAGAGUUGUAAGAGUCAAGUCAGAAGUACUAAUAAGCUGCAUGUAAUUAUUGGCAUAUAGUGAAAAAUAUCACCACGAACAAUCAGGUAGACCAGCAAGUAUUUGGACUAACAAAGAAGAACAUAUGACGGAGUCUCACUCCGUUGCCAGCCUGGAGUGCAGUGGUGGGAUCUCGGCUCACUGCAACCUCCACCUGCCAGGUUCAAGCGAUUCUCCUGCCUCAGCCUCCCACGUAGCUGGGACUACAGAACAGCCCUCAUGCUUGCUGUGCACUAUGACCCGCCAGGUAUUGUCAACAUCCUUCUUAAGCAAAAUGUUAAGAGCUCUACUCAAGACAUGUGUGGAUGAGAGGCUGAAGACUUCCCUCUUGUGGGUUGACAAAACGGAGUCUCACUCCGUUGCCAGCCUGGAGUGCGUUGGUGUGAUCUCGGCUCACUGCAUCCUCCACGUCCCAGGUUCGAGCGAUUCUCCUGCCUCAACCUCCCACGUAGCUGGGACUACAGAUUCCACUUCUGCAAGGCUCCACAGAAGUCUCCAACCUUCAAAUCUUCAGUCUCCGAAAGCACCGAUUCCUGAAAGGAUGGCCUCAAAUGACCAAGUAUACGAGCCGUCUAUAUCCCUGCUCCUGAAAAACAAGCUAACUGGACUCUCCAUCACCUUCCCCCAGCACAGACGCACUACCAGCUACGCAGCUGAACUCCAUGACUGACUUGCCAUCCAAUCAUGCCCCUGACCCAGCCUACAUGAACAAGGGAAGGAAUAUCAGCGAAUUAGGAAAAGAGGCAGAGGUGAGGAGACCACCUGUCCUGGGCCACAGAGCUAUGUAGAGUUCAUCAAUCUCCAGCCCCUUAGUAUUCCAGGGGCUCUAAACCACCUUCUGUAAGUCAGGAUGGAAGUAGAUGGUGCCACGAAGAUUUCUCUCUGCUGUAGCCACUCCUUCAGUGUCUCAAAAUGUUUUAACAUCUUUCAGUAAAAAUCUGUCAGUCCUUGAUAAAUUAAAAAAAAAAAAGGCAGCAAAGUUUUUAGAGCUCCCUUGAACCUUCUAUUUUAAGGCGCCUUUGUAGAUAAUUCCCAACAUUCUGUGUGUCGGUCAUCUUUGGAAUUUAUCGAUCGAUCAUUGUUUCUCUUCAAACUUGGCCUUGCCCUGCCCAUUCCAUUCUUACCCGCUUUCAUUGGCUUCACUAGUCAAUUCCACACUCAUUCUAGACACUGGGUGCACGAGACUCACUCCCGUUUGUAUUACCAAAACUCAGGCCAAUAGGAUAUAAAAAGUAGGAAGAAUACUGGGAUUUAACAUGAGUACAAAUCUCAUUUCUUCCAAUUCCUAUGUCUUCUUGAAUCCUAAUCUUUCUGAGACUCAAGUUUUCUAUCUAAACGAUCCCUUGACCAGAAUGUUCAACAGACGUGACAAUACUAGAACGUGUUUUAAUUCAUUCUAAGAUUCCUUAAAAUUCUGUAAUUCUAUGUGCUUCUGAUUCUGGGAAUACAUAGCCAGCAGAAUUUGAAAAACGAAUAGAAUUAAAGAAAUAACAAAGACAAAAAAAAAAAAAAAAAAAAAA